UUGGCAUCAACUCAGUUUGGAAGCUUUCAAAACCCACCUCCUCAAGGAAAUGAAAACCCUAUCCCACCACCAAGGGCUUUACAAAAUUCACUUUAUGAUCCAAUGUAUGAGCAAUUGGGAUUUCCAGUGGAUUUGACUUUAAGGAUGUAUCUAGCAUCCAAGCGUAAUAGAGGAGGUGACUCUUAGCAUUUGGAUUGAACAAGUGAAAUGACUUCACAUGAGAGCUACGUUUAUCAAUAUGAAACAGCCUUAUUUUAUGGUUUUUUGUAUUAUAUUCAAUAUGGAUUGUUCGAGAUAAGAUA
This is a non-coding RNA of Lupinus albus (white lupine), 302 nucleotides long. The record is from the annotation of a GenBank genome assembly. NCBI's taxonomy places the organism in Eukaryota, Viridiplantae, Streptophyta, Magnoliopsida, Fabales, Fabaceae.